RNAcentral lists this ribosomal RNA (578 nucleotides) under Triticum aestivum (bread wheat). RNAcentral's name for it is "partial small subunit ribosomal RNA". The record is from RNAcentral. Lineage: Eukaryota; Viridiplantae; Streptophyta; Magnoliopsida; Poales; Poaceae.
CCCCAAUCUGUUAGCCAGCUCACACUCCAGUCCUCCGAACACGUACAGGUAAUCCCAACUCCCAAGGAAUCCCCAAAUCGAGCAGGCAGCCAGCGCCCAGCAAGACUAACCUAGCGGCCGCCGGCUCGCUGCCACAGAGCUCAGCCUCACCGGAACGCCAGCCACCGUCCUCCGGCCGCCGGGCACCUGAUCCAGAUCUGCCGUUCGUGGAUGGGCGAACCAAAAGAAGAUGUCCCGUGUGUGGGAGGAGGCAACGGCGGCAGAGCAUCUAGCUCAUGCAAACGCGCAGCUACAGUUUGCAAAAUCAGCAGGCGCAAUCAGCAGAUAUGCAGCGAGGACGGAAUAUUUGAAGAAAGGCCCAUGUCAGCCGUAUGGUCAUGAUUUCCCUUGCAACAUGUUCAUGUUGGAUUUUGUGAUUUUUGGUGGUCACAUCACCUAGUUGUCGAGAAUCUUGAACUGUUCUAAAUCAUUGGUUAUGUUAAUUUUCGAGUGCAUCUAGCUUUAUAGUUGAAUUUAUGAGAUUUGGUUCAACGGACUUGCAUUUGUCAAUCAAAAAAUUUGCACCUCAAUUGUUCCGC